This 332-nucleotide ribosomal RNA is filed under the name uncultured eukaryote. Its description in RNAcentral is "partial 18S ribosomal RNA". It matches the Rfam family "Eukaryotic small subunit ribosomal RNA", at positions 1470 to 1796 of the family's 1831-position model. The record is from RNAcentral.
CCCUUAGAUGUUCUGGGCCGCACGCGCGCUACACUGACGGAGGCAGCGGGCAUGUCCUUCGCCGAGAGGUGUGGGGAAUCUUGUGAGUCUCCGUCGUGCUGGGGAUAGAUGGUUGCAAUUGUCGAUCUUGAACGAGGAAUUCCUAGUAAGCGCGAGUCAUCAGCUCGCGCUGAUUACGUCCCUGCCCUUUGUACACACCGCCCGUCGCUACUACCGAUUGGAUGGUUUAGCGAGAACUUUGGACCGGAGCUCGGGUGGUCAGCAAUGGCCGCCCGAGACAUACUGGGAAAUCGCUCCAGCUUGAUCAUCUAGAGGAAGUAAAAGUCGUAACA